Molecule: ribosomal RNA, 492 nt
Filed under: uncultured bacterium
Lineage: Bacteria
Description: partial 16S ribosomal RNA
Rfam family: Bacterial small subunit ribosomal RNA
Source: RNAcentral
AGUGAACGCUGGCGGUAGGCCUAACACAUGCAAGUCGAACGGCAGCACAGUAAGAGCUUGCUCUUACGGGUGGCGAGUGGCGGACGGGUGAGGAAUACAUCGGAAUCUACUUUUUCGUGGGGGAUAACGUAGGGAAACUUACGCUAAUACCGCAUACGACCUACGGGUGAAAGCAGGGGAUCUUCGGACCUUGCGCGAUUGAAUGAGCCGAUGUCGGAUUAGCUAGUUGGCGGGGUAAAGGCCCACCAAGGCGACGAUCCGUAGCUGGUCUGAGAGGAUGGUCAGCCACACUGGAACUGAGACACGGUCCAGACUCCUACGGGAGGCAGCAGUGGGGAAUAUUGGACAAUGGGCGCAAGCCUGAUCCAGCCAUACCGCGUGGGUGAAGAAGGCCUUCGGGUUGUAAAGCCCUUUUGUUGGGAAAGAAAAGCAGCAGGUUAAUACCCCGCUGUUCUGACGGUACCGAAAGAAUAAGCACCGGCUAACUUCGUG